UGAAUAUGCCUUAAACGGCCCGGCUUCCGGUGGCACCUUAGAGCUCCAACUAAAUUCCACUACGAAAAUCGGGCGGCGUUCACAGUUGUAUUUCUCCAUUUCCAACUGAUUUAACUUUAAUUAGCCUUUCAGUAUGUUACGAAUUUGUCAAUGGUGCGUGUACAGUCACAGUAUUUUACAGUCAGUGUACGUAGGGUUACAUUAUAGGAAGUAGCCGGCCCUCCAUCGGAUCCCUUCACAUUCCCACGUCCCUUUUCACUUUUCAGCCAAGAAUUUAAGCAUACACUACACUCAUGGGUGUAGUUUGAUAGUUUCAAAUGUGGUAAUUUUAGUUGGGUUUUCUUUAUCCAUGGCUUCUAUGUAUGCCGGCAUUUGUAUAUGGCUGUUCUUACUAAUAUUAGAAUAAUAGUCAUUUAAGUUGGAAUCUUGUUUGCUUAUGUCCUAGACUAGUUCUAUUAGCUGUAUCUUUUAUUCAUACAACAACUUUAUAAACUAUAAGAACUACAAGGCUGGAAAAAAUAAGUGUUGUCAAAGGCGCUUCACCAGCUUAAUGUGCCCUCCAGUGUCGUCGUCAAGGCUCUAAGACAUACUUUUCCUUGUUAACCUGUGUUUCCUGAAGAAGCAACACUAAACAACUAAUAUUUCACUUUAUUGUGAUUUUUUUCCAAAUUCUUUAUCCAUAUAUUUGUUAUUCAUGCUUAUAAUAUAAUUAUUAUUCUUGAGCUAAACAUGUAGAUAUAUUUAUUUGUUUACCAUUUGCACCUUUUUCCAUUAAAGCCCUAGCUUUAUUUGCCCCAAUGGACCUUAGAGUUUUUUUGCUCGUUUUGCUUUUGAUAACAUUGGAAAAAAUCAACUCUUUAUGUGGAAAUUUUGAUUUAUCUAUCUAAAAUAAAAACAAAAGGAGGGGGAGGGGGGCGAAUGACUAUCUUCUCGUGGUGCUGAUCAAAUAAAUAAGAAAAGAGAAACAACUGAUAUUUGUUAUUUUCACGGGUUGAUCGUAGAACUUUCAUUUAUGAAGCAGCUAUCUUGGCUAUUGGUAAGGUGUAUACUUAAUUGAAAGCUUGCUAGCAUGUCUGGUAAAGAUCCAAAAGGUAA
Molecule: long non-coding RNA, 1095 nt
Organism: Solanum dulcamara
Lineage: Eukaryota; Viridiplantae; Streptophyta; Magnoliopsida; Solanales; Solanaceae
Exons: 2
Source: RefSeq, a predicted model, not a curated record